Passer montanus (Eurasian tree sparrow) is the source of this 526-nucleotide long non-coding RNA. RefSeq lists it as uncharacterized. NCBI's taxonomy places the organism in Eukaryota, Metazoa, Chordata, Aves, Passeriformes, Passeridae. The transcript has 4 exons. The record is from RefSeq and is a predicted model, not a curated record.
GAACAGGAGCCAAAAUGUGGUUCUAAGGGCAUGACUCUGGAGCUAUCAGCUUUCUAAAGAGGAAAUGUACUGAGUCACAGAGCUGUCUGAAGUGCUCAGGCUGUUUGCAAUAUGGAUGCAGAGAAGAAGCAAAAUCACCCAUGAAAGGAGCCAUGAAGUUUGUGGUGAAAGCUAGAAUUAGAGCCAUUUCCAGACAUGAGCAAUAUUCCCACCUUGGCUCACAGCUCACGUGCUGCAAGCGUGGUCUACGAAAGCAAAGGUUGGUCUCUGCAAUGCCAGCAGAUGAAAGGACAUUCAGUUCCUGCUCUGAGCAGCAUUUUCGUUUCCUCUGGGUCUUGUGGAGCUCCUGUGAUUGACCAACUCACUCUGCAGCCAUGCCUCCUCAUCUUUUGGCAUCUCAGACACCCACAGAACCCAUCUAGAAUAUGAAUGAAGGUGACUCUCAGACUGUCCUAAGAUUUAUUUUAGAAGAGUUAACAAAACCUACUGAUAACAAGAGGUAAAGGAUUUCCCAUUGAAGAUGCUU